AUGGCGGAGAUGAGUUCUUCGCUGGCAGUCACGGGCGCCGCCAUGGAUGCUCCAGUGAGUUCUUCCCUUGGGGUCAUGGGCCCUCUUCUCAAGAAGAUAGAUUCGCUGCUGCCUCUGGAUUACCGGCUGCGAGGGCCACUCAAGGACAGAGUCGCGCUCCUCAAAGUAGAUCUGGAAGAAAUCAGCGUCGCCCUUGUGGAGCAGUCAAUGGUAGAUUUCCCCAAUGAAAUGGCAAAAUACUGGAUGAAUGAGGUGCGUGAACUUUGCUAUGACAUCGAGGAUUUCAUCGACGACAUGAUGUUGACGCACGCCGAUGCCAAGAUGAGGUCGGUGCAGAGCUUCAAGGUUGGCCGUGUCAAGAUCCCUUGGCUUCCCAAGACGGUGAGGCCGUGCACGAGGGCCGCCAGGAUCGCAGAACUCAGGGCCCUGGUGCGGGAGGCGAUUGAGCGACAUGGAAGGUAUCUUGAUGGUUGCACCUCGAGUUCUAGAUCUCUGUUCACUGUGUACGGCCAUAUUCCAUUGAUGUAUGCAGAGGCUGCAAACUACCUUGUUGGCGUCGAUGACACCAAGACAAAGCUUAUCAAGUGGAUUACCGACGAGGAGCAGCAUCCAGCAGAGACUACAAACUACCUUGUUGGUGUCAAUGACGUGAAGAUAAAGCUUAUCAAGUGGCUCACCGAUGAGAAUGAACAGCAGCUGAAAAUGGUGGUCAUAACUGGACAUGCAGGGGUUGGCAAGACCACACUUGCAAAACAGCUGUACCGUGAAGUUGGGCAGCAAUUCGAGUGUCGUGCUUUCGUGCGGGCAUCUCGGAAACCUGACAUGAGAAGACUGCUUGAGGGCAUCCUCUCUCAAGUUCAGCAGCAUCGAUGCCCCUCUAAUUCCUACACAGUGCAAAACCUUAUUGACAAUCUCAUCAAACAUCUCCAGAAUAAGAGGUAUGUUAUUGUAAUUGAUGAUUUGUGA
RNAcentral lists this ribosomal RNA (966 nucleotides) under Triticum aestivum (bread wheat). RNAcentral's name for it is "partial small subunit ribosomal RNA". Lineage: Eukaryota; Viridiplantae; Streptophyta; Magnoliopsida; Poales; Poaceae. The record is from RNAcentral.